AGCAAGUCAAGGCCUUUUGAGUACUUGAGGCUUACCAGCUUAGGUGUCAUUGGUGCCCUCGUGAAGGUUGAUGACACAGAAGUUAUUAGUUUCCUUCUCUCAACUGAAAUAAUUCCUUUGUGUCUGCGUACCAUGGAGAUGGGCAGCGAAUUAUCAAAAACAGUUGCUACGUUUAUAGUUCAGAAGAUUUUGUUGGAUGAUGUGGGCUUGGAUUAUAUUUGCACUACAGCAGAACGAUUUUUUGCAGUUGGUCGAGUUUUGGGGAACAUGGUUGCAGCACUUGCUGAACAACCCUCAUCUCGGUUGUUAAAACACAUUAUUCGAUGUUACCUUCGACUGUCAGAUAAUCCAAGGGCAUGUGAUGCAUUAAGAAGUUGCCUGCCGGACAUGCUUAGAGAUGCUACCUUCAGUAGUUGCCUUCGUGAAGAUCCAACAACCAGACGGUGGCUGCAGCAGUUGCUUCACAACGUUGGAGUGAAUCGGGUUCCAGGGCUGCAGCCUGGUGGAGGCUUUGACCAUAUGCUGGUGAACUAAAUUAAAUUUCGCAACCUUCUUCUGAUGCUUUGUUUUUUGCAAUCUGAUUUCAAAAGCAGAUGGCUCAUCAUCUUUUAAUUUUUUUAAGUGAAUUAGCAUCAUUAGAUUAAUGUAAUUAACGGUUUGUGUUAAAAGAGAGGCAUGAAAAAAAGGAAAAAUGAGAAAAGGCAAAGUCCGAAUUGUGGCUUGUCUCUAUGCCAAUUGCUGUCUGUAAUGGAAAGAAUGCUGUUGUUCAUGCUUAUUCAGCGGUGCCUCCCCA
RNAcentral lists this unclassified non-coding RNA (793 nucleotides) under Hevea brasiliensis (rubber tree). The record is from RNAcentral. Lineage: Eukaryota; Viridiplantae; Streptophyta; Magnoliopsida; Malpighiales; Euphorbiaceae.